CAGUAGCCGCGGUAAUACGUAGGGUGCAAGCGUUAAUCGGAAUUACUGGGCGUAAAGCGUGCGCAGGCGGUUCGGAAAGAAAGAUGUGAAAUCCCAGGGCUCAACCUUGGAACUGCAUUUUUAACUACCGGACUAGAGUGUGUCAGAGGGAGGUGGAAUUCCACGUGUAGCAGUGAAAUGCGUAGAUAUGUGGAGGAACACCGAUGGCGAAGGCAGCCUCCUGGGAUAACACUGACGCUCAUGCACGAAAGCGUGGGGAGCGAACAGGAUUAGAUACCCCAGUAGUCCCUGUCUCUUAUAA
Molecule: ribosomal RNA, 301 nt
Filed under: uncultured bacterium
Lineage: Bacteria
Description: partial 16S ribosomal RNA
Rfam family: Bacterial small subunit ribosomal RNA
Source: RNAcentral